Amphiprion ocellaris (clown anemonefish) is the source of this 1929-nucleotide long non-coding RNA. The record is from Ensembl. NCBI's taxonomy places the organism in Eukaryota, Metazoa, Chordata, Actinopteri, Pomacentridae.
GAAUAAUUGUGACAGACAGCUGAGGUAUUCCAGUAGACUUACAUUAGUGGUGCAGAGUUGUACCUCCUAUGCUGUUUGGAUUUCUUAGUGAGUAAACUCAAUCUUACUGAACUCUCCCCCAUGAAGAUAUUUUGCUGUAUUUAAGGUAAUAUUGUUGUAUUUUCCAUCCAGGGUGUCCCCUGCCUUCACCCUCAGUCAGAUGGGAUAGACUCCAGCCUCACGCGACCCUAAUGAGGAUUAAACGUUGAAUGGAUGGUUUUUAUCUCUGCUGUUCCAGUUUUUGCAGCCUUGGGGUGAACUUCUGGAGGUGGUGCACAAAUAGCCAAUCGGUCAGAGUGUGGGAGGAGCCGAGUAAACAAAAAAUGAGCAAACAGCUUUGAGGUCAAUCAGGAUCUGAUCAGUCACUCGGAAAUCAGUCAAACUUUAAGAUGAAUCUGAUUCUGCUCUUCGGUCUGUCUCACUGCUGCUGGAUGGCUGCUGCCAGGUAUACAUGGACCGAUAAGCCCUGGAUCAUUGUGGGUGAGCAUGAAAUCAAGGAGGGAGAGACACUGAAGGUCAGCUGCACGCUUCCAAUCGACUACACUGGAGGAAACUGUCGCCUUUUCAGAGGAAACUCUGCCAUCCCCUUCAGGCUAAAGACAGCUUUGGAUUUUGUCUGCGUCUUUCACCUGUCAUCAAAAGUGCUGCUAGGAAAUCAUCCGGUGGGUAGCAAGAUCUCCCUCAGGUGUGACUACCAGAUCCAGGAAUUCACCUCAAGGUCCAGUGACAACGCAGCGGUGAUCGUCUGGGGCAGCUGUCCCAGUCCCAGUCUGUCAGUCAGCCACCACUUUGUCUCACCUGACGACAGCAUUGAGGUCACCUGUUUACCUCCUCUUGGUUACGCCCCCAGCUGUAGCUUCUACAGAGGCCAGUACACAAUUGCAGAGGGGUCCUGCAGCAGGAACAUGACAGGUCAGGAGCUGGCCAUUUGGGAGGAACCAACCUUCCUGCUUCCUGUCAACCUGACCUGCACUUACGAGCCAAACCUGGACCACUACAUCCGCUCAGACAACAGCAACCAGCAUCUGCUGCUCGUAGUCGAUGUGAACAGAGUCACCACAUCAGUCAACUGUAAAGUCUCAGUAAGUGAUGAUCAACUGGAGGUGUUCAAAGACAGUAGCUGGACGUCUGCUGGGGCAAAUGGAUCCAGUGUCACCAUCCAGGUGACAAACAGCAGUCUGAUGCUCAGUGACACCUGUGACUACUUAAAGAGUCUGAACUGACGGAAGUGAACACAUAUAGAAUCAGAUAUACUGACGUAAAUACAUACAGAUUCAUACACCCUGAUUUAAACACAUGCAGAGUCAGACUUGAAAUAAAGGAGAGACAUCUGAGUUCAAGAGAAAGAAAAAUGAGUUUAUUUUAGCUUAUUUUUUCUAUACAGUGUGUCUACAAUGGUAGCAGAGGCUAAGGUUGUGGCUGAAUGCAUUUUUACUGUCUCUUGUGUACACAACCUCUCUGGUUGUAAAUGAAAGUCAAUGGAGGGUGGGGAGGAUAUGGUCUUGGUCUGAGAUAUUGGCCCUCUAGUGACAUCCAGUGGUUUUAACUGUUGUACAUCGCAUAGCUACUGAAUUAAACAAUACAUUUCAAAUCAAUUCAACCGACAAUGAUUUAUUGCCAGACUUCAAUUAAUGAGUUGUUCUAACUUGAGGAACUUUACCGAAGUGAAAUCACAGGUUUAAUAAAUGAACUGCUGACCCACACAUUAAAAAACAAACACAAUUUUUUUUUUAAAAAACAAGACAUGGAAUGGAUGUAAAAUAUCUUUUUUCAGAUUACUGAACAAGGAGGUGUGCCAAUAAUUGUUCUAUGAACUGGUAGCGGGUCAAUCUGUCCCUGUGUUUGUGACAGUCCAUUUAAUAUAUUAAAUUCCAAUGUACAUUAUAUGAA